This 205-nucleotide ribosomal RNA is filed under the name uncultured bacterium. Its description in RNAcentral is "partial 16S ribosomal RNA". It matches the Rfam family "Bacterial small subunit ribosomal RNA", at positions 1133 to 1344 of the family's 1533-position model. The record is from RNAcentral.
GGGAACUNUAGGGAGACUGCCGGUGAUAAACCGGAGGAAGGUGGGGANGACGUCAAGUCAUCAUGGCCCUUAUGGGUAGGGGCUACACACGUGCUACAAUGGUCGGUACAGAGGGCAGCAAACGCGAGCAAGCAAAUCCCACAAAGCCGAUCCUAGUCCGGAUUGCAGUUGCAACUCGAUGCAGAAGUGGAAUCGCUAGUAAUCG